RNAcentral lists this ribosomal RNA (347 nucleotides) under uncultured microorganism. Its description in RNAcentral is "bacterial SSU rRNA". It matches the Rfam family "Bacterial small subunit ribosomal RNA", at positions 9 to 332 of the family's 1533-position model. The record is from RNAcentral.
GAGUUUGAUCGUGGCUCAGGAUGAACGCUGGCGGCGUGCCUAACACAUGCAAGUCGAACGGAGUUUAUGAGGAAGAAGCUUCGGCGGAAUUCUUAUAAACUUAGUGGCGGACGGGUGAGUAACACGUGGAGAACCUGCCUCUUACCGGGGGACGAGCAGUUGGAAACGAACUGAUAAUACCGCAUAAGCGCACGAGACCGCAUGGUCCUGUGUGAAAAGAUUUAUCGGUAAGAGAUGGCUCCGCGUCUGAUUAGCCAGUUGGCGGGGUAACGGGCCCGACCAAACGCGACGAUCAGUAGCCGGCCUGAGAGGGUGAACGGCCGACAUUGGGACGUGAGACACGGCCC